UACGGAGGAUGCGAGCGUUAUCCGGAUUUAUUGGGUUUAAAGGGUGCGCAGGCGGCGCGAUAAGUCAGCGGUAAAAAUUCGGGGCUCAACCCCGUCCGGCCGUUGAAACUGCCGCGCUGGAGUGCGUUGGAGGAAGGCGGAAUGCGUGGUGUAGCGGUGAAAUGCAUAGAUAUCACGCAGAACUCCGAUUGCGAAGGCAGCCUUCCGUGACGCCACUGACGCUGAGGCACGAAAGCGUGGGUAUC
Molecule: ribosomal RNA, 245 nt
Filed under: uncultured Porphyromonadaceae bacterium
Lineage: Bacteria; Pseudomonadati; Bacteroidota; Bacteroidia; Bacteroidales; Porphyromonadaceae
Description: partial 16S ribosomal RNA
Rfam family: Bacterial small subunit ribosomal RNA
Source: RNAcentral